This 70-nucleotide transfer RNA is filed under the name Anolis schwartzi. RNAcentral describes it as "tRNA-Ala". Lineage: Eukaryota; Metazoa; Chordata; Lepidosauria; Squamata; Anolidae. The record is from RNAcentral.
UAAGACCUGCGAAACUUUAAUUCACAUCUUCUGAAUGCAACCCAAACACCUUUAUUAGGCUAAGAUCUUG